CACUCCUGCGGGAGGCAGCAGUGGGGAAUAUUGGACAAUGGGCGCAAGCCUGAUCCAGCCAUGCCGCGUGAGUGAUGAAGGCCCUAGGGUUGUAAAGCUCUUUCACCGGUGAAGAUAAUGACGGUAACCGGAGAAGAAGCCCCGGCUAACUUCGUGCCAGCAGCCGCGGUAAUACGAAGGGGGCUAGCGUUGUUCGGAUUUACUGGGCGUAAAGCGCACGUAGGCGGACUAUUAAGUCAGGGGUGAAAUCCCGGGGCUCAACCCCGGAACUGCCUUUGAUACUGGUAGUCUUGAGUUCGAGAGAGGUGAGUGGAAUUCCGAGUGUAGAGGUGAAAUUCGUAGAUAUUCGGAGGAACACCAGUGGCGAAGGCGACUCACUGGCUCGAUACUGACGCUGAGGUGCGAAAGCGUGGGGAGCAAACAGGAUUAGAAACCCGAGUAGUCCCAUG
RNAcentral lists this ribosomal RNA (449 nucleotides) under uncultured organism. Its description in RNAcentral is "partial 16S ribosomal RNA". It matches the Rfam family "Bacterial small subunit ribosomal RNA", at positions 334 to 799 of the family's 1533-position model. The record is from RNAcentral.